AUGCGUAGCCGACCUGAGAGGGUGAUCGGCCACACUGGGACUGAGACACGGCCCAGACUCCUACGGGAGGCAGCAGUAGGGAAUCUUCCACAAUGGACGAAAGUCUGAUGGAGCAACGCCGCGUGAGCGAUGAAGGCCUUCGGGUCGUAAAGCUCUGUUGUUAGGGAAGAACAAGUGCGAGAGUAACUGCUCGCACCUUGACGGUACCUAACCAGAAAGCCACGGCUAACUACGUGCCAGCAGCCGCGGUAAUACGUAGUGGCAAGCGUUAAUCGGAAUUACUGGGCGUAAAGCGCGCGUAGGUGGUUUGUUAAGUUGAAUGUGAAAGCCCCGGGCUCAACCUGGGAACUGCAUCCAAAACUGGCAAGCUAGAGUAUGGCAGAGGGUGGUGGAAUUUCCUGUGUAGCGGUGAAAUGCGUAGAUAUAGGAAGGAACNCCAGUGGCGAAGCGACCACUGGGCUAAUACUGACACUGAAGGUGCGAAAGCGUGGGGANACGAAACAGGAUUAGACUACCCCUGGUAGUCCCAACGCCGUAAACGUAG
RNAcentral lists this ribosomal RNA (544 nucleotides) under uncultured bacterium. RNAcentral describes it as "bacterial SSU rRNA". It matches the Rfam family "Bacterial small subunit ribosomal RNA", at positions 279 to 811 of the family's 1533-position model. The record is from RNAcentral.